This 2165-nucleotide long non-coding RNA is filed under the name Citrus x clementina. Its description in RNAcentral is "Citrus clementina (C. clementina) long non-coding RNA (CCLE_LNC001009)". The record is from RNAcentral. Lineage: Eukaryota; Viridiplantae; Streptophyta; Magnoliopsida; Sapindales; Rutaceae.
UAUAUUUAUUUAUUUAUUUAUUAUUAUUAUAAUAAAGCAAAGCUAAUCCGGCAGUUGUUGCAUUAGCCACCCACAUUAAUCCCUUACAAAUUUGUUCCAAAUAUAAGGUUAAUAUUAUUUUAAUAUGAAUAAUAUUUUAAUACCCCAUAAUAUAAUGUAACAAACAUGCCUUAUAUACACUAAUGAUCGAGAUUUGUCCUUUCGAAUAACAAAUAAAGUACAGUCAGAACCAUUAUUGGUUUCUUACCCCUGUCUUGAAUAAAUAGUAUAAGGUAAAUAUAUCAAUUGAAAGAGAAGAAAAAUCUCUCCUCUCUUUCCAUAUUUUUGAUCCAUCAACAUCCAUUUAAUAGCAAAUAAUUAGCCAAAGCCUGCAAAUGCAUGCUCUCUAGUCAAGUGUAUGCCAACAAAUGUCAGUUCAAGUUUUCAGUUUUACUCAAGCAAGCAAAUGGGGUGAGUGUGACAUCAUAUAAGAACAAAACAUAAUCAAAUCAUGUUAAAAAAUUUACAACUUUUGAUACCCUUUUUCCUCUUAUAGCCUGUGGGCAUAUCCUUUCCUGCAGAGUGUUUUUCUCACAACUAACAAGGGGAAAAAAAAAAGGUAAUAAUAAUAAUAAGAAUAAUAAUGAUGAUGGGGAAAAGUUACUAUGCAGAGUCUUUUUUUUUAACCCCAACAACCGUAGCCAUCAUUUGUUUCCUUCAUCACCUCAAAGCAUUAAAGUCCAAAAAAAAGAACAAAUUUAUUACAAAAAAUCAUAAUUGAAGGUUGAGCCUUUUUAUGGCGUCGGGAGCCAAAUCUAUUUACUUGUUGUCAGCAGUGGCAAUGGAAACGUAGGUGAAAUUGAUUUGAGGAUUUAGGAUCUAAAAAGUUCGAUAGUAUAUUAUUGCCUAUUGUUUGUGUUUGAGAAGAUGAAAAUGGCUAGAUCGAUUUACCAUCUUUAGGUAUUUUGUUUCACUGUUUUAAUUGUUUUGGCUUUUACUUUUAUUUAUUAAUUUGCAAAUUACAAACUAUUUUUUUGGUGUGGGUACAUAGUAUACUGAUAAUAUUCCAUUUUGUUUAACGACAGAAUUGCCCUUUAAAAAAGUCAAUUAACAGACAAUUUUUUAGCAUUUGGGGGAUUUUAACUAGUUUUAAAACUUGAGGGGAUUUACUUAAUUUUGAUAAGCUGUUGGAGGUAUCACUCAUUUGCCCAAAUUCUAAACAAUGACAUCUUUUUUAGGAGAGGCCCAUAAUUUUUUUAUUCACUCGAUAUAUAUUACAUCAAUUAGUAUAUAAACUAUAUACCUCAAUUAAAUUAGAGUAGCAUUAUUAUUAUUAUUAUUAUUAAGCAAAAGAAAAAUAUGUACUUCAAAUUCUCCCUUUCACCAUAAACAUGCACACGAUGUAGCCUAAUCUUUUUUUUUUUAAUCUAUCAAUCAAGAUCUUUGCCCCGAACACAAACAUAAUUUGCGUAAAGCCUAAUCUAUUUUUUCUUUUUCUUUUUCUUUUUCUUUUUCCCCCUCAUUUUGCCGUGAAGAAAUUUAAACUUCAAAGUUCUAACUUUUUGUACCACUUUAAAAUCUAUUUAUUAGUAAAAUCAAUUAAUUAGUACUGACAUUCACUUCAUCUAUUUAAGUCCACGAUGAUUUCAAAAUUUUUACGUGCUUGUUCAUUUUUUUUUUUUUUUUACUUUUCAAUUCAUUAUUACUCAUUUUUAUAUUACAUUAGCAAAAAAUGGUUAAUUAGGACCGCCAUGAUUGAGACGAGGCUGACGUCUAGCUAGCUAGAUUGAAGAAUCAAGAGUGUAUAAUCCGUCUAAUCAAAAAAUUUCCACAAUCACUAUCACAGACAUGAUAUAUAGCCAUAACAUCUUCAACAACAAAGCCUUGACAAUUUGACAGGAGUUCCUCUAUAUAUAUAACACGUGCUUUUUCAAUUAUUGUUAAAUUACUUUCACGUGAUCAAUUUUUUUGAGACAUUAAAUGCAUCAAUCAACCAUUUCCUUGUUAAAGGGUUGUUUCAGGAGUCAGGACCACAACUUCUUAGUCGGUUGUUGAAAUGUCAGAGUCCUAGAAUACAAGAUAGUGACGUCUUUCAGACGAGUAACUCGAAAAGUUUCAACACUUUUUUUUUUUUUUUUUUUUUUAAUUCCUGCUCCAACAUCAAGAAGAAGUUUCUAUCAUGGGGU